This 36-nucleotide ribosomal RNA is filed under the name uncultured Helvella. RNAcentral's name for it is "partial 18S ribosomal RNA". Lineage: Eukaryota; Fungi; Ascomycota; Pezizomycetes; Pezizales; Helvellaceae. The record is from RNAcentral.
GAUAGGUUCGGUAGCUAACCUGCGGAAGGAUCAUUA